RNAcentral lists this ribosomal RNA (513 nucleotides) under uncultured bacterium. RNAcentral's name for it is "partial 16S ribosomal RNA". It matches the Rfam family "Bacterial small subunit ribosomal RNA", at positions 28 to 523 of the family's 1533-position model. The record is from RNAcentral.
GACGAACGCUGACGGCAUGCCUAAUACAUGCAAGUCGAGCGAACAGAUGAAGUGCUUGCACUUCUGACGUUAGCGGCGAACGGGUGAGUAACACGUAAGGAAUCUACCUAUAAGCGGGGGAUAACAUUCGGAAACGGGUGCUAAUACCGCAUAAUAUCUUCUUCCGCAUGGAAGAAGAUUGAAAGACGGCUCUGCUGUCACUUAUAGAUGACCUUGCGGUGCAUUAGUUAGUUGGUGGGGUAACGGCCUACCAAGACGAUGAUGCAUAGCCGACCUGAGAGGGUGAUCGGCCACAUUGGGACUGAGACACGGCCCAAACUCCUACGGGAGGCAGCAGUAGGGAAUCUUCCGCAAUGGGCGAAAGCCUGACGGAGCAAUGCCGAGUGAGUGAAGAAGGCCUUCGGGUCGUAAAACUCUGUUAUAAGAGAAGAACAAAUUGUAGAGUAACUGCUACAGUCUUGACGGUAUCUUAUCAGAAAGCCACGGCUAACUACGUGCCAGCCGCCGCCGUAA